GCGGAGGGAUCAUUACCGAGUUUACAACUCCCAAACCCCUGUGAACAUACCUAUACGUUGCCUCGGCGGAUCAGCCCGCGCCCCGUAAAAAGGGACGGCCCGCCCGAGGACCCCUAAACUCUGUUUUUAGUGGAACUUCUGAGUAAAACAAACAAAUAAAUCAAAACUUUCAACAACGGAUCUCUUGGUUCUGGCAUCGAUGAAGAACGCAGCAAAAUGCGAUAAGUAAUGUGAAUUGCAGAAUUCAGUGAAUCAUCGAAUCUUUGAACGCACAUUGCGCCCGCCAGUAUUCUGGCGGGCAUGCCUGUUCGAGCGUCAUUUCAACCCUCAAGCUCAGCUUGGUGUUGGGACUCGCGGUAACCCGCGUUCCCCAAAUCGAUUGGCGGUCACGUCGAGCUUCCAUAGCGUAGUAAUCAUACACCUCGUUACUGGUAAUCGUCGCGGCCACGCCGUAAAACCCCAACUUCUGAAUGUUGACCUCGGAUCAGGUAGGAAUACCCGCUGAACUUAAGCAUAUCAAUAAAGCGGAAGGA
RNAcentral lists this ribosomal RNA (533 nucleotides) under Fusarium equiseti. RNAcentral's name for it is "eukaryotic LSU rRNA". The stretch from base 165 to 318 matches the Rfam family "5.8S ribosomal RNA". The record is from RNAcentral. Lineage: Eukaryota; Fungi; Ascomycota; Sordariomycetes; Hypocreales; Nectriaceae.